RNAcentral lists this ribosomal RNA (455 nucleotides) under uncultured bacterium. RNAcentral describes it as "bacterial SSU rRNA". It matches the Rfam family "Bacterial small subunit ribosomal RNA", at positions 340 to 786 of the family's 1533-position model. The record is from RNAcentral.
UACGGAAGGCAGCAGUGGGGAAUAUUGCACAAUGGGCGCAAGCCUGAUGCAGCCAUGCCGCGUGUAUGAAGAAGGCCUUCGGGUUGUAAAGUACUUUCAGUCGUGAGGAAGGUGUUAAGGUUAAUAACCUUAGCAAUUGACGUUAGCGACAGAAGAAGCACCGGCUAACUCCGUGCCAGCAGCCGCGGUAAUACGGAGGGUGCGAGCGUUAAUCGGAAUUACUGGGCAUAAAGGGCACGCAGGCGGUUAAUAAGUUGGAUGUGAAAUCCCCGGGCUUAACCUGGGAAUGGCAUUCAAGACUGGUUAGCUAGAGUCUUGUAGAGGGGGUAGAAUUCCAUGUGUAGCGGUGAAAUGCGUAGAGAUGUGGAGGAAUACCGGUGGCGAAGGCGGCCCCUGGGACAAAGACUGACGCUCAUGUGCGAAAGCGUGGGGAGCGAAACAGGGAUUAGGAUACC